Molecule: ribosomal RNA, 460 nt
Filed under: uncultured bacterium
Lineage: Bacteria
Description: partial 16S ribosomal RNA
Rfam family: Bacterial small subunit ribosomal RNA
Source: RNAcentral
CCUACGAGUGGCAGCAGUGAGGAAUAUUGGUCAAUGGACGAGAGUCUGAACCAGCCAAGUAGCGUGAAGGAUGACUGCCCUAUGGGUUGUAAACUUCUUUUAUAUGGGAAUAAAAUGUUCCACGUGUGGGAUUUUGUAUGUACCAUAUGAAUAAGGAUCGGCUAACUCCGUGCCAGCAGCCGCGGUAAUACGGAGGAUCCGAGCGUUAUCCGGAUUUAUUGGGUUUAAAGGGAGCGUAGGUGGAUUGUUAAGUCAGUUGUGAAAGUUUGCGGCUCAACCGUAAAAUUGCAGUUGAAACUGGCAGUCUUGAGUACAGUAGAGGUGGGCGGAAUGCGUGGUGUAGCGGUGACAUGCUUAGAUAUCACGAAGAACUCCGAUUGCGAAGGCAGCUCACUGGACUGCAACUGACACUGAGGCUCGAAAGUGUGGGUAUCAAACAGGAUUAGAUACCCCUGUAGUC